UGGGGAAUAUUGGACAAUGGGCGCAAGCCUGAUCCAGCCAUGCCGCGUGGGUGAAGAAGGCCUUCGGGUUGUAAAGCCCUUUUGUUGGGGACGAAAUCGUACGGGUGAAUAUCCCGUGCGGAUGACGGUACCCAAAGAAUAAGCACCGGCUAACUUCGUGCCAGCAGCCGCGGUAAUACGAAGGGUGCAAGCGUUACUCGGAAUUACUGGGCGUAAAGCGUGCGUAGGCGGUUUGUUAAGUCCGUUGUGAAAGUCCUGGGCUCAACCUGGGAAUUGCAGUGGAUACUGGCGAGCUAGAGUGCGGUAGAGGAUGGUGGAAUUCCCGGUGUAGCGGUGAAAUGCGUAGAGAUCGGGAGGAACACCCGUGGCGAAGGCGGCCAUCUGGACCAGCACUGACGCUGAGGCACGAAAGCGUGGGGAGCAAACAGGAUUAGAUACCCUGGUAGUCCACGCCCUAAACGAUGCGAACUGGACGUUGGGUGGACUUAGCCACUCAGUGUCGAAGCUAACGCGUUAAGUUCGCCGCCUGGGGAGUACGGUCGCAAGACUGA
Molecule: ribosomal RNA, 551 nt
Filed under: uncultured Dokdonella sp.
Lineage: Bacteria; Pseudomonadati; Pseudomonadota; Gammaproteobacteria; Lysobacterales; Rhodanobacteraceae
Description: bacterial SSU rRNA
Rfam family: Bacterial small subunit ribosomal RNA
Source: RNAcentral